AUGGCUGUCGUCAGCUCGUGUCGUGAGAUGUUGGGUUAAGUCCCGCAACGAGCGCAACCCUUGUCAUUAGUUGCUACAUUCAGUUGGGCACUCUAAUGAGACUGCCGGUGACAAACCGGAGGAAGGUGGGGAUGACGUCAAGUCCUCAUGGCCCUUAUGGGUAGGGCUUCACACGUAAUACAAUGGCGCGUACAGAGGGCUGCUAAGCCGCGAGGUAGAGCCAAUCCCUUAAAGCGCGUCGUAGUCCGGAUUGCAGUCUGCAACUCGACUGCAUGAAGUCGGAAUCGCUAGUAAUCGCGGAUCAGCAUGUCGCGGUGAAUACGUUCCCGGGUCUUGUACACACCGCCCGUCACACCAUGGGAGUGGGUUUCACCAGAAGCCGGUCGCCUAACCGCAAGGGGGGCGCCGACCACGGUGAGAUUCAUGACUGGGGUGAAGUCGUAACAAGGUAGCCGUAUCGGAAGGUGCGGCUGGAUCACCUCCUUUCUAAGAUGGCACUGCUCAGUGCCCACCCUCUAUCGGCUGUUUCUUAUUGAAGAGAGAGUUGACCUAUUGGGUCUGUAGCUCAGUUGGUUAGAGCACCGUCUUGAUAAGGCGGGGGUCGAUGGUUCGAAUCCAUCCAGACCCACCAGAUCCUCUCGCUCUUUAACAACAUGGGAUUGAAGGUAAAGUUGUUCUCGUUCGCGAGAGCGCGAGAUUGUUGGAGCGCGCGUUGAGCGGAUGAGGGCUAACUGGGUUAUGUAUUGCAUCGUGUUCUUCGAUCGCGAGGAUUGAUCGGGGAUGCACAAACUUAAGCGUGAGAGUUACCUAUUGCGUUGUGAUGCCCUGGGGGAGUUUGCCCUGGGGUGCUUUUCGCUCUAAAGGCGGGAGGCGGCAAGGUUAUAGGGUCAAGCGAAUAAGUGCAUGUGGUGGAUGCCUUGGCAAUGAUAGGCGACGAAGGACGUGACAGCCUGCGAUAAGCUGCGGGGAGCCGGCAAAUGGGCGCUGAUCCGCAGAUUUCCGAAUGGGGAAACCCGG
RNAcentral lists this small RNA (1017 nucleotides) under uncultured Nitrosomonadaceae bacterium. RNAcentral describes it as "bacterial SSU rRNA". The stretch from base 1 to 486 matches the Rfam family "Bacterial small subunit ribosomal RNA", at positions 1045 to 1533 of the family's 1533-position model. The record is from RNAcentral. Lineage: Bacteria; Pseudomonadati; Pseudomonadota; Betaproteobacteria; Nitrosomonadales; Nitrosomonadaceae.